Long non-coding RNA from Arabidopsis thaliana (thale cress), 921 nucleotides. RefSeq annotates it as other RNA. The transcript has a single exon. The record is from RefSeq. Lineage: Eukaryota; Viridiplantae; Streptophyta; Magnoliopsida; Brassicales; Brassicaceae.
CUUGACAUCAUCUCACUGACCCAUGCAGCCAUGCCUAAACUUGGACCAGAACUCAUGUAACCACCGGGUAAUGUCAAACCUGAACUCUGAACUCUCAGGUUAGUUAAACUCAUCUCUUGUUGUUUCCUUAAUUCUAAAUCAUCACUAAACCUGUAUUAAAGUGUCCCAAAUUUUUUAGAUAGAGAUGUAUAGAUGCACAUUUAACCCACCUGAGGAAGAACUUAUUAACUAUUACUGGAAUAACAAGAUCACCAGAGAAUGAUGAUCCAAAUAAAGGCAACGAAUUUGAAGUUCUACUACAUUUUCUUCCAUUUUCUCCAUUAUUUUGCAAAUACAUAAACACAUAAAACGAAUUUAUUUCCAUUUUUCCCAGAAAUAUAUAAGAACAAGCUAAAACACAGGGAUACAUGAAUCCUCUCAGAAAUCAGAGCAUCGACCACGUUGUUCCCAAUCGCCGUACCGAGUCGGUUCAGGACCUCUAGGCCCUCCAAUCUCACCAGUAUCUUCGUUCACAAACUCUCCACCUCCACCACCUUCUCCUUCCUCUUCUUCUUCCUUCUGCAUCUGCAGAUUCUGUUGAAGAUUCUGAUCUGGCUUCACGUCCCGGUUCAGAUCCUGAUUCGGAGAUGGAGCUUGCGGCGGAGGAGGUGUACCGGAGCUUAGAAACCGUGACACUGGCUCGAGGAAUCUAGAGGAGACGGAUCGGCUUGGAGCGAUCAAACGUACGAUGUUGUUCGUCGCCAUUGUUAGAUCAGAUGUGUCGGCCAAAUCAAGAAAGAGAUCCGACCUUCACGGUUUGUGAUAGUAUAGGGUUCGAUAGUCAUUUAGGUUGGGCCAUAAUUGGAUAAUAAGCCCAGUAGUAUCUAGGCCCAAUCAUUUACAUGUUUAUAAAUAAAUUAAGAGAAUUAGAGAGUAAAUUUG